UGAGGAAUAUUGGUCAAUGGACGGAAGUCUGAACCAGCCAUGCCGCGUGAAGGAUGAAGGCCUUCUGGGUUGUAAACUUCUUUUAUGAGGGAAGAAAACUAUGGUUUCUACUAUAGCCGACGGUACCUUAGGAAUAAGCACCGGCUAACUCCGUGCCAGCAGCCGCGGUAAUACGGAGGGUGCAAGCGUUAUCCGGAUUCACUGGGUUUAAAGGGUGUGUAGGCGGGCAUGUAAGUCAGUGGUGAAAUCUCCGGGCUCAACCCGGAAACUGCCGUUGAUACUAUAUGUCUUGAAUACUGUUGAGGCAGGCAGAAUAUGUCAUGUAGCGGUGAAAUGCAUAGAUAUGACAUAGAAUACCGAUUGCGAAGGCAGCUUGCUAAACAGUUAUUGACGCUGAGGCACGAAAGCGUGGGGAUCAAACAGGAUUAGAUACCCCCGUAGUCC
Molecule: ribosomal RNA, 444 nt
Filed under: uncultured bacterium
Lineage: Bacteria
Description: bacterial SSU rRNA
Rfam family: Bacterial small subunit ribosomal RNA
Source: RNAcentral